Molecule: ribosomal RNA, 497 nt
Filed under: uncultured bacterium
Lineage: Bacteria
Description: partial 16S ribosomal RNA
Rfam family: Bacterial small subunit ribosomal RNA
Source: RNAcentral
GAUGAACGCUGGCGGCGUGCCUAAUACAUGCAAGUCGAGCGAGCGGACGAGAAGCUUGCUUCUCUGAUGUUAGCGGCGGACGGGUGAGUAACACGUGGAUAACCUACCUAUAAGACUGGGAUAACUUCGGGAAACCGUAGCUAAUACCGGAUAAUAUUUUGAACCGCAUGGUUCAAAAGUGAAAGACGGUCUUGCUGUCACUUAUAGAUGGAUCCGCGCUGCAUUAGCUAGUUGGUAAGGUAACGGCUUACCAAGGCAACGAUGCAUAGCCGACCUGAGAGGGUGAUCGGCCACACUGGAACUGAGACACGGUCCAGACUCCUACGGGAGGCAGCAGUAGGGAAUCUUCCGCAAUGGGCGAAAGCCUGACGGAGCAACGCCGCGUGAGUGAUGAAGGUCUUCGGAUCGUAAAACUCUGUUAUUAGGGAAGAACAUAUGUGUAAGUAACUGUGCACAUCUUGACGGUACCUAAUCAGAAAGCCACGGCUAACUACGUG